AUUGUUUCAACAUGAAGGUUUGUAAUAAAAAUUUGUUUCUAUCAGCAUUGCUUUGCAUUGCUAUUGCAGGAGUUUUGGGUCAAGCUCCUAGUAAUCCUCCUACGUCUACGCCGGCGCCACCCACACCACCGGCUUCUACUCCUCCUCCGACGACUCAACCACCGCCUACACCAACCGCCACUCCGCCACCAGUUUCUACUCCUCUUCCCACUUCAUCACCGCCCCCAGUGACAGCUUCUCCACCCCCAGUUUCAACUCCUCCACCCAGUUCUCCUCCUCCCGCAACUCCACCACCUGCUUCUCCACCUCCUGCAACUCCACCUCCAGCUUCUCCACCUCCUGCAACUCCACCUCCAGCUUCUCCACCUCCCGCCACUCCUCCACCAGCAACCCCCCCACCUGCAACUCCUCCUGCUACCCCACCACCAGCUCCAUUGGCUUCUCCUCCAGCCACAGUCCCAGCUAUCUCUCCAGUACAAACACCAUUGACCUCGCCACCAGCUCCGCCGAC
This 511-nucleotide long non-coding RNA is filed under the name Gossypium barbadense (sea-island cotton). Its description in RNAcentral is "long non-coding RNA (GBAR_LNC002751)". The record is from RNAcentral. Lineage: Eukaryota; Viridiplantae; Streptophyta; Magnoliopsida; Malvales; Malvaceae.